This 539-nucleotide ribosomal RNA is filed under the name Bifidobacterium breve. Its description in RNAcentral is "bacterial SSU rRNA". It matches the Rfam family "Bacterial small subunit ribosomal RNA", at positions 161 to 710 of the family's 1533-position model. The record is from RNAcentral. Lineage: Bacteria; Bacillati; Actinomycetota; Actinomycetes; Bifidobacteriales; Bifidobacteriaceae.
UGGUAAUGCCGGAUGCUCCAUCACAUCGCAUGGUGUGUUGGGAAAGCCUUUGCGGCAUGGGAUGGGGUCGCGUCCUAUCAGCUUGAUGGCGGGGUAACGGCCCACCAUGGCUUCGACGGGUAGCCGGCCUGAGAGGGCGACCGGCCACAUUGGGACUGAGAUACGGCCCAGACUCCUACGGGAGGCAGCAGUGGGGAAUAUUGCACAAUGGGCGCAAGCCUGAUGCAGCGACGCCGCGUGAGGGAUGGAGGCCUUCGGGUUGUAAACCUCUUUUGUUAGGGAGCAAGGCAUUUUGUGUUGAGUGUACCUUUCGAAUAAGCACCGGCUAACUACGUGCCAGCAGCCGCGGUAAUACGUAGGGUGCAAGCGUUAUCCGGAAUUAUUGGGCGUAAAGGGCUCGUAGGCGGUUCGUCGCGUCCGGUGUGAAAGUCCAUCGCUUAACGGUGGAUCCGCGCCGGGUACGGGCGGGCUUGAGUGCGGUAGGGGAGACUGGAAUUCCCGGUGUAACGGUGGAAUGUGUAGAUAUCGGAAAGAACACC